This 465-nucleotide ribosomal RNA is filed under the name Vreelandella stevensii. RNAcentral describes it as "partial 16S ribosomal RNA". It matches the Rfam family "Bacterial small subunit ribosomal RNA", at positions 338 to 795 of the family's 1533-position model. Lineage: Bacteria; Pseudomonadati; Pseudomonadota; Gammaproteobacteria; Oceanospirillales; Halomonadaceae. The record is from RNAcentral.
CCUACGGGUGGCAGCAGUGGGGAAUAUUGGACAAUGGGCGAAAGCCUGAUCCAGCCAUGCCGCGUGUGUGAAGAAGGCCUUCGGGUUGUAAAGCACUUUCAGUGGGGAAGAAAGCCUUGGGGCUAAUACCCUCGAGGAAGGACAUCACCCACAGAAGAAGCACCGGCUAACUCCGUGCCAGCAGCCGCGGUAAUACGGAGGGUGCGAGCGUUAAUCGGAAUUACUGGGCGUAAAGCGCGCGUAGGCGGUCUGAUAAGCCGGUUGUGAAAGCCCCGGGCUCAACCUGGGAACGGCAUCCGGAACUGUCAGGCUAGAGUGCAGGAGAGGAAGGUAGAAUUCCUGGUGUAGCGGUGAAAUGCGUAGAGAUCGGGAGGAAUACCAGUGGCGAAGGCGGCCUUCUGGACUGACACUGACGCUGAGGUGCGAAAGCGUGGGUAGCAAACAGGAUUAGAUACCCUAGUAGUC